UGGAGCCAGCCUGGGCUCAUAUAAGGACCAGCCACUGAGAGGAGGGUGUCUGUUGGACGUUGGCUGCUGCUUGUGAGGGCGUGCUGCAUAGCCAUAGAGCCCCUUCACCAGUUGGGCCAUGAGGAAAGUUCCUGAGCUCUAGAAAAUGGAAACCACUGCACGCAUCUACAACACAAAGAGGAUCCAAAAACUAAGCAGCUGAUGACCCUCCCCUCAUAAUCUGGGAAGACUAGAAAACAUCUGCCGAAAGAUCAGUGAGGCAAGUGAAGUACAAGGUGAAAUCUGAGAGCAUCAAAUACCUUCCAGGACAAAGACUAUGCAACCACUCUGGACACCUCUUCUGUCUGAGCACCCUUGUGGGGAUAGUCUUUCAUCAUUCUGCCAAGGAACACUUGUGAGAAGACUCAGACUUCAUCUUCUCUACACCUUCCCAGUAGGCAUCUGUAGUCAGCAGUAAGGCCCACCCCUAGGCCUUCUUUCCUUAAUGCUGACCAAAGGAAUUCCCUCAGCCCACCCACCCUUGUAUGGAGGCUGCACAUACAGUAUGGUAGUGGGCACCUGGACCUUCAGUGCCACUGCUGUGAAUGCACUGAAGGGAGCCCUGGCAUGAUGGUGUUGUUCCGGGCCAACUGUGCUGUGGGUGGAUCCACCUCCAUGGGCUCCACAGUAGUGGUUGUUGUGCAGGUCAUUGCACAGGCACUCUUCCUACUUUUUUGUGGGCCUUUCUUGCCUCAUUGAUUGUGAGAACCUGUUCUCUCUUUUCCCAUGUAAAAGUGUGCAGCAGUUGCUCCAGGUCCUCUUCUUUCCACCCAUGG
This is a long non-coding RNA of Numida meleagris (helmeted guineafowl), 815 nucleotides long. RefSeq lists it as uncharacterized. Lineage: Eukaryota; Metazoa; Chordata; Aves; Galliformes; Numididae. The transcript is spliced from 2 exons. The record is from RefSeq and is a predicted model, not a curated record.